AGUGACGGUACCUGCAGAAGAAGCACCGGCUAACUACGUGCCAGCAGCCGCGGUAAUACGUAGGGUGCGAGCGUUGUCCGGAAUUAUUGGGCGUAAAGAGCUCGUAGGCGGCUUGUCGCGUCGGAUGUGAAAGCCCGGGGCUUAACUCCGGGUCUGCAUUCGAUACGGGCAGGCUAGAGUGUGGUAGGGGAGAUCGGAAUUCCUGGUGUAGCGGUGAAAUGCGCAGAUAUCAGGAGGAACACCGGUGGCGAAGGCGGAUCUCUGGGCCAUUACUGACGCUGAGGAGCGAAAGCGUGGGGAGCGAACAGGAUUAGAUACCCUGGUAGUCCACGCCGUAAACGUUGGGAACUAGGUGUGGGUCACAUUCCACGUGGUCCGCGCCGCACCUAACGCAUUAAGUUCCCCGCCUGGGGAGUACGGCCGCAAGGCUAAA
RNAcentral lists this ribosomal RNA (433 nucleotides) under uncultured Streptacidiphilus sp. RNAcentral describes it as "bacterial SSU rRNA". It matches the Rfam family "Bacterial small subunit ribosomal RNA", at positions 468 to 898 of the family's 1533-position model. Lineage: Bacteria; Bacillati; Actinomycetota; Actinomycetes; Kitasatosporales; Streptomycetaceae. The record is from RNAcentral.